UCAGCUCCCCAGCUAAUGGGCCAAGAGAUUCUCCCCGCCAGGCCCCCCACUCUCAGGCUGGGGAGCCCUACUCCCCACUUGCCCCAGGAGCUGCUCAGAGCCAGUCCCAAGGGACCCCCAGGGAGACUGCAGCUGGGAGGGCUGGCUGUGAGAAACGACCGAAACAAGAAGAAGAAGGAGGUGCCCAAGCCCGAGUGCUCUGAGAGCUACACGCUGACGCCGGAGGUGGGGGAGCUCAUUGAGAAGGUGCGCAAAGCGCACCAGGAAACCUUCCCUGCCCUCUGCCAGCUGGGCAAAUACACUACGAACAACAGCUCAGAACAACGUGUCUCUCUGGACAUUGACCUCUGGGACAAGUUCAGUGAACUCUCCACCAAGUGCAUCAUUAAGACUGUGGAGUUCGCCAAGCAGCUGCCCGGCUUCACCACCCUCACCAUCGCUGACCAGAUCACCCUCCUCAAGGCUGCCUGCCUGGACAUCCUGAUCCUGCGGAUCUGCACGCGGUACACGCCCGAGCAGGACACCAUGACCUUCUCGGACGGGCUGACCCUGAACCGGACCCAGAUGCACAACGCUGGCUUCGGCCCCCUCACCGACCUGGUCUUUGCCUUCGCCAACCAGCUGCUGCCCCUGGAGAUGGAUGAUGCGGAGACGGGGCUGCUCAGCGCCAUCUGCCUCAUCUGCGGAGACCGCCAGGACCUGGAGCAGCCGGACCGGGUGGACAUGCUGCAGGAGCCGCUGCUGGAGGCGCUAAAGGUCUACGUGCGGAAGCGGAGGCCCAGCCGCCCCCACAUGUUCCCCAAGAUGCUAAUGAAGAUUACUGACCUGCGAAGCAUCAGCGCCAAGGGGGCUGAGCGGGUGAUCACGCUGAAGAUGGAGAUCCCGGGCUCCAUGCCGCCUCUCAUCCAGGAAAUGUUGGAGAACUCAGAGGGCCUGGACACUCUGAGCGGACAGCCGGGGGGUGGGGGGCGGGACGGGGGUGGCCUGGCCCCCCCGCCAGGCAGCUGUAGCCCCAGCCUCAGCCCCAGCUCCAACAGAAGCAGCCCGGCCAC
RNAcentral lists this small RNA (1052 nucleotides) under Pan troglodytes (chimpanzee). Its description in RNAcentral is "processed transcript". Lineage: Eukaryota; Metazoa; Chordata; Mammalia; Primates; Hominidae. The record is from RNAcentral.